CUUUCUCCUCUCCUGCCCAGAGACUGUUUCAGGUGGGUGAGCAUAUGGUAUAAAUGUUUUUCAAAACCAGCUGAAAUCUCACUCCGUCUCUUCCACUGAAGCAGUCUGGGCGCUUUAUGGCAAAUUGACGG
Mesocricetus auratus (golden hamster) is the source of this 131-nucleotide unclassified non-coding RNA. The record is from Ensembl. NCBI's taxonomy places the organism in Eukaryota, Metazoa, Chordata, Mammalia, Rodentia, Cricetidae.